Molecule: long non-coding RNA, 1697 nt
Filed under: Homo sapiens (human)
Lineage: Eukaryota; Metazoa; Chordata; Mammalia; Primates; Hominidae
Description: HSALNT0171800
Source: RNAcentral
UCUCUAUCCAUCAGAACGAGAUUGAACUAGCUGCUCAUGGUCACAGAUGCUGGGGGAAUGCAAAUAGAGAUUUACCCUUUUUAUGUUUGUUCUUUUCACACCUGAUAAAAUUACAAUAAAUACAAAACAUGUUUUACUGUAAUGCUUUGGUAAUAACGAUGAUGUGUCAUGGAUAUAUGAUAUAGUAAAUAUUGUGACUACUUGCAGUGAGCUUAACUAUUUGUACUCACUUUUAUUUGCUUUAAAAUGCUCUACACUGAACAAAAACAGAAAAAAUGAAAACUGAUAGUUCAACAAAAACAUUUUUAAAGUAUAUAAAUAGUGCAGAACUCACAUCUUGGAUAAGCAACAGUUUUAAAAAUUAAAAUUCACUUAUUUUUGUAGAGUUGUUACCAUAAAUUCACAGCUCUGGUCAGAAAACCUCUCUGCCUAGAAUCAGUUUAAAAGACAUCCAAGAGUCAGCCAGGCCUCACAGAGACAGUGUUCUCAAAUAGUCAAUACACAAGCAGAAUCAAUCACUGGUGGACAAAACAAUUACUGAGCAUGUGAUCCCACCAAUUAAAUGCCUGCCCUACAUGUUUUCAUCUCUACAUCCAUUUCUCUUAUGUUUUGUGUUAUUAUAUUGUCUAUUUCUGAAAUCAGGAACAGAUAUUUAACGCUGUAAAGGAAGGAUGUCGUUUAAGACUUUCAACGUCUAUGCCUAUAGAUGCACGAGCCAUUCCAGGGUAAAAGGACUUUUGACUGGCUGGCAAGGGCUCACUCUGGGUUUGGCUUUUGAAUUGAACCUUAAAACUAUUCUGAAUUUUACCCAUUUUAAGGAACAUAGUCCAAUAUAAUAAUCCACGAGAAAAAGUAAUUUCUAAAAAAAUAAUUAUAUAUAAUAAUGAAAGAAUGGAAAAUUCAGCUGGGUGCGGUGGCUCACGCCUGUAAUCCCAGCACUUUGGGAGGCCGAGGCAGGGGGAUCAUGAGGUCAGGAGAUUGAGACCAUCCUGGCUAACACAGUGAAACCCCGUCUCUACUAGAAAAAAAAAAUACGAAAAAUUAGCCGGGCGCGAUGGCGGGCGCCUGUAGUUCCAGCUACUUGGGAGGCUGAGGCAGGAGAAUGGCGUGAACCCGGGAGGCGGAGCUUGCAGUGCGCUGAGAUCGCACCACUGCAGUCCAGCCGGGGCAACAGAGCGAGACUGCGUCUCAAAAAAAAAAAAAAAGGAAAAUUCAGAAACAAUUUCAUACAGGGUAAUGAUGAAACAAAAAUAUCCAGCCAGGCGCAGUGGCUCACACCUGUAAUCCCAGCACUUUGGGAGGCCGAGGCGAGCUGAUCACUUGAGGUCAGGAGUUCAAGAGCAGCCUGGCCAAAAUGGUGAAACUCCGUCUCUACUAAAAAUACAAAAAAAAUUAGCCAGGCGUGGUGGCAGGUGCCUGUAGAACCAGCUACCUGGGAGGCUGAGGCAGGAGAAUUGCUUGAACUUGGGAGGCUGAGGUUGUAGUGAGCCAAAGUCACGCCACUGCACUCCAGCAUGGGCGACAGAGUGAGACUCCGUCUCAAAAAACAAAAAAAACAUUCUCUAAGCUACACUGAAAAACAGAUUUGUGGACUAAGUCAAUUUCUGGACAUUUUUGAAUAAACGAAUAUUAAAACAAAAAGGAGACCAUGAAGCAAUUUAUACAGAUUAUGCCAACUAUAUACACACACACACACA